UACGUAGGGUGCGAGCGUUAAUCGGAAUUACUGGGCGUAAAGUGUGCGCAGGCGGUUGUGCAAGACAGAUGUGAAAUCCCCGGGCUCAACCUGGGAAUUGCAUUUGUGACUGCACGGCUAGAGUGUGUCAGAGGGGGGUAGAAUUCCACGUGUAGCAGUGAAAUGCGUAGAGAUGUGGAGGAAUACCGAUGGCGAAGGCAGCCCCCUGGGAUAACACUGACGCUCAUGCACGAAAGCGUGGGGAGCAAACAGG
RNAcentral lists this ribosomal RNA (253 nucleotides) under uncultured bacterium. RNAcentral describes it as "partial 16S ribosomal RNA". It matches the Rfam family "Bacterial small subunit ribosomal RNA", at positions 524 to 776 of the family's 1533-position model. The record is from RNAcentral.